Molecule: long non-coding RNA, 2107 nt
Organism: Gadus macrocephalus (Pacific cod)
Lineage: Eukaryota; Metazoa; Chordata; Actinopteri; Gadiformes; Gadidae
Exons: 4
Source: RefSeq, a predicted model, not a curated record
GCGUGAUGACAUGGGGAUACGCACUUAUUAUACAUCACAACAUUUUAGGAAAUGGUCCUUCAAGCUUGAAAGACGGCGACGUGGCUGCCCUUUCUAGCCCCGUCAUGAUAGUUGGCUGGCAGGCCCUGUGGAUUGUAUCUUCUGGACUCCUGUGCUGGGAUGCAAGUUUUUCUUGGGCUGAAUUGCAAUGCAUUUGUCGAUGCUAGCUGGACCUGGGAGUUGGGUCCCCCUUUGAAUCAGAAACCAUCUUGGUAACAUCCCAACUAGGGUUCUCUUCAUGCUGUAACCAAGCUCUUCUUCAGCUGAGGAGGAAAAUAAAUCCUCGCUGGGGCUUCAAGAUCUAUGAAGAGGAAUAUUGAAAUGUGUGCAAUGGUUCCCUCCCGUAGGCGCUGUGGUGUAUUCUAGUCGCUGAGAAAGAGCCCUCGCAUCCUACCCAUGGUGUCUCUCCUUGGGGAGUCCCUCUCACAGUCUUGACGGAUGUUCCAGGUCAUGUAACUGAUGCAACAGCCCUUUUGAACACUGUUUCUCCGGAGGGGGGCACGUCUACAGAACAGUAGACUUCAGACAGCACAGUAUCCUAACAUGCAUCUCUGGCCACUCGGACCACACCCGGAUCAAUAUGACAAUGCUCAUGCGAUGUGAAGCGAGGAAGUAGCCAAAAGACAGAUUAGUUAGCUUUUUUUGUACACUGGCAAGCAUUGUUAAUUGGUAGAUAAUUAGUUAAAUGGGGUAACUGAAAUGUUUAGUCAAAAUGUUUUGUACAUAAACCAACAGCAACAAACUACCAGAUCGCCUCAAGGUAAGUCUGUUGGCUGUAUUUUGCAAUGAGACGACCACAAGAUCUUCAUCGUCGUUCAGCUCAAGGUGAGGUGCUGGUUACGUUACUUAGGGAUGGUUCGUACUGGAACGUUACGAUUCCAGUAUGACGGGGCUUGGGGUUUCUGUAGAGGUUGGUAGUUAGUUUUGUGCAGUCUGUGAAGCUCUAAUGCUGCAGUACUGUGUGGUGGAGGAUAACUGGCAGUACGAACAGGAUUGGCAAUUGCGUUACGUCAUCCACACCUUAUUAUGGCGUCUGGCAGUACGAUCAAUAUUGGCAUUUGCGUAAACCUCAUAACUAAUGAGCGUACCCAAUUAAGGUAAUCUGGCAGUGCCCCAUUUCUAUAGGUAACCAUCUGCGAUUAUUGGUAAAUCCUUAUGCACUAGAAAUUAGGAAGGGCACUCUUAAAAUAUAUUUUUAAUUAUCCCACAAAAUACCUCAAACUACUUUGAUAACUGCGCUCUACAAUCAACUCUCGAUUUUCUGCGCAUACAUUUAUCGGGUCGCGUAAAAGAUGGAGACGACGGCAUUUACCUACUACGGCUUUUUAUUUCUUCAACAACCCAGCAGCUGAAUGUGGCCAAGUAUCAUUUUACUAUCUAAAUUACUAUUGAUAUUGCUAGUGUUCUAAAUAUCUGGGCUGUGAUCUGCUCAAUAUAGUUUCUGCUAGACUUCAGAAACAAAAGGAAGGGUUAAAUGUAAGUGUGCUUAUUCACGUAUUAUCAAAUGGCAUAGCUGUUUAGAAAAGUAAAGUUAAUUGUUGCGCAAAUGCUACCAUAAACCUUUGACUUUUGAAUAAAUCAAACUAAGCACAAGGCAACUAAGAUACGUGGUGACCAAGAACUCUUAUAUUGAUGUUCAGUUUAUUAUUGGUGAGGCAGUGAUGUAAAGCGCGUCGUGGUGUUUUUAAAUGGAUGAAUGUUGUGCUAACAGACGGGGGGAAACUCCAGGCCUUGCAGUCCUGAUCCUGUAUGAUGCAGAAGAUGUCAAUCCAACCGCACAUUGAUCUCUGCAGCGUGGUCGGUGGGAGGAGAUGUGGCCGAGCUGUUGAACCAGGCUCUAUCGGUACCCGAUGGCCUUGGCUGAUGGAGGAACUGCAUCUGGAGGACGACCAUGAAUCUACCUGCCAACAGGUGGUACUGGUUUGCACUGGUUUGCAUGAACUGAACAUGGUGGACAUGAGGCAAAUUCCCUGCUGUUUGCCCCAGACCAGGACUGGGUGAUGGAGGGGUGGUGAUGGAGCCGUGCUGAGGACCUGCUGGUGAAGGACGUCCCUCGUGGGGGGGCAAG